UGUUCCGUGCGGAAUGAGGUUCUCCGCGGGGCAGAAGCCCCAAACCGCCUUCGGGAUGAUGACCUCUGCCACUGU
This 75-nucleotide non-coding RNA is filed under the name Parafannyhessea umbonata. Its description in RNAcentral is "Olsenella umbonata Fluoride sequence". The stretch from base 11 to 75 matches the Rfam family "Fluoride riboswitch aptamer (crcB RNA motif)", at positions 11 to 63 of the family's 64-position model. The record is from RNAcentral. Lineage: Bacteria; Bacillati; Actinomycetota; Coriobacteriia; Coriobacteriales; Atopobiaceae.